This 1329-nucleotide ribosomal RNA is filed under the name Clonostachys rosea. RNAcentral's name for it is "bacterial LSU rRNA". It matches the Rfam family "Bacterial large subunit ribosomal RNA", at positions 1154 to 2365 of the family's 2925-position model. The record is from RNAcentral. Lineage: Eukaryota; Fungi; Ascomycota; Sordariomycetes; Hypocreales; Bionectriaceae.
UGAUUCCGCGCCGACAAUGUAGCGGGGCUCAAGUACACCGCCGAAGCCGUGGCGUUCAGUUUUUCUGGAUGGGUAGGGGAGCGUCGUGCACGAGGUGAAGCCAGCGGGUAACUUCUGGUGGAUUGUGCACGAGUGAGAAUGCAGGCAUGAGUAGCGAAAGACGGGUGAGAAACCCGUCCGCCGGAUGACUAAGGGUUCCAGGGUCAAGCUAAUCUGCCCUGGGUAAGUCGGGACCUAAGGCGAGGCCGACAGGCGUAGUCGAUGGACAACGGGUUGAUAUUCCCGUACCAGUGAAGAACCGUCCAUGUUGAGCCGGUGAUACUAACCGCCCGAACCAUCCCGAACCCCGUCUUUGACGGGGACGGUGGUGGGGAGCGCGGGACCUGAACCGGGGAGGCAAGCGCAUUAACAGGUGUGACGCAGGAAGGUAGCCGAGCCGGGCGAUGGUAGACCCGGUCUAAGCGUGUAGGGCGAUCCGUUGGCAAAUCCGCGGAUCAUUGAGCCUGAGACGUGACGGGACCCCCAUUCGUGGGGGGAUUCGGUGAUCCUAUGCUGCCGAGAAAAGCAUCGACGCGAGGUUCCAGCCGCCCGUACCCCAAACCGACACAGGUGAUCAGGUAGAGAAUACUAAGGCGAUCGAGAGAAUCAUGGUUAAGGAACUCGGCAAAAUGCCCCCGUAACUUCGGGAGAAGGGGGGCCCCGACCGUGGACACCACUUGCUGGUGCGAGCGGGUAAGGGCCGCAGAGACCAGGGGGAAGCGACUGUUUAUCAAAAACACAGGUCCGUGCGAAGUCGUAAGACGAUGUAUACGGACUGACUCCUGCCCGGUGCUGGAAGGUUAAGAGGACCUGUUAGCCUCACGGCGAAGCGGAGAAUUUAAGCCCCAGUAAACGGCGGUGGUAACUAUAACCAUCCUAAGGUAGCGAAAUUCCUUGUCGGGUAAGUUCCGACCUGCACGAAUGGAGUAACGACUUCCCCGCUGUCUCAACCAUGAACUCGGCGAAAUUGCAGUACGAGUAAAGAUGCUCGUUACGCGCAGCAGGACGGAAAGACCCCGAGACCUUUACUAUAGUUUGGUAUUGGUGUUCGGUGUUGCUUGUGUAGGAUAGGUGGGAGACGGUGAAGCGGGCACGCCAGUGCACGUGGAGUCAACGUUGAAAUACCACUCUGGUCACUCUGGACAUCUAACUUCGGCCCGUGAUCCGGGUCAGGGACAGUGCCUGAUGGGUAGUUUAACUGGGGCGGUUGCCUCCUAAAGAGUAACGGAGGCGCCCAAAGGUUCCCUCAGCCUGGUUGGCAAUCAGGUGUCGAGUGUAAGUGCACAAGGG